GGGGGCGGACGGGCGGUCGCCGCGCGCAAGCGGGGAGGAAAGUCCGGACGCCGCAGGGCAUGGCACUCCUUAACGGGGAGCGGGAGAAAUCCCAGGGAAAGUGCAACAGAAAAUAUACCGCCGCAAUUAUUGCGGUAAGGGUGAAAUGGCGAGGUAAGAGCUCACCGGGCGGGCGGCGACGUCCGCCGCUUUGAAAACCCUGCCAGGCGCAAGACCAAAUAGGAAGGCGUGCCCCGAAAGGGGCGGGGACGGCUCGUCUCAGACCUUCGGGUUGGUUGCUUGACCGCGUCGGCAACGGCGCGGCUAGAGGAAUGGCCGCCCCCCUUCGCAAGAAGGGGACAGAAUCCGGCUUAUAGUCCGCCCCCUUUU
Molecule: RNase P RNA, 369 nt
Filed under: Nitrospinota bacterium
Lineage: Bacteria; Pseudomonadati; Nitrospinota
Description: RNase P RNA component class A
Rfam family: Bacterial RNase P class A
About the family: Ribonuclease P (RNase P) is a ubiquitous endoribonuclease, found in archaea, bacteria and eukarya as well as chloroplasts and mitochondria. Its best characterised activity is the generation of mature 5'-ends of tRNAs by cleaving the 5'-leader elements of precursor-tRNAs.
Source: RNAcentral